CUGAGCUGGGACAGAGGGAGCUGCUGGCUCAGCGGGAUGGGUGUUUGAGACUGAGGAAGUCUUCCCUCAUGCAAGCUGAGCCCUGGGAGGGCUGAGAUGAACUAGACCUGACAAGUGCUCGGGUCGUGUCUGGACUUGCACAGAUGGAAUUUUAAGCACAUAAGACACCGCCAUGCUGGUGCCAGGAAGUUAGCUUUCAAAGAGAGUUCUGUGGGUCUUGUAAAAACAGCAAGAACCCAUGUCUUGGCAAUGUGGUGUCCACUGCUUCUGACAGACAGGGAGGGGCAGCACUAGGUGACAUGACUGCAAUGCCUGAAGAGUCCAGAAGACAGCAUUAGAUCCUCUGGAGCUGGAGUUAUAGCAGGGUGUGAGCUGCAGUUUGAAGCUGACAACUGAACCUGGAUCCUCUGAAAUGUCGCGAGAAGAAAGGAAAGGGAAGGGGAAGAGGCAGAUGGUCACAAAUACAGGGGAACCACAUUCUGCAAAGAUGCUGUCUUCGCCGUGUGAAAGUCAAAAGGAAUAUCCAUUCUGCGACCUCUUUGGAAUGUCAGCAUUGCUGCAUCUCUGGGAGAAUGGAGACUGGGGCAUCCCCUGUCAUCAUGCUGAAUCUUGCAUGGAUUCCUCAUGUUUGAGCACCACUCACCAAUAGACCACCUGUCUCCGUCAUCCCAGCACUGAGAUUAUAAACACUCGCCACCACUGCGGACAUUUUUAAACAUGUUCUGAGACCUGAACUCAGAUCCUUAAGCCUGCAGAACAAGCACACUAGUGGCUGAGCUAUCACCACAGCCACAAUUCCCCCAAACGUUUCCAAGUUCUUUUUCUAAACCACUUCAAAGGGCUUCUUUAUUGUUGCUAUCACAGGCAUGAGUGUCUCGGCACAUAUUUUCUGUGUCAGGUGUCCUGGGGCUGGAGUUACAGAGAGUUGUGAGCUGUGAUGUGGAUUCUGGGAAUGGAGCCCCAGGUUCUCUGCAAAAGCAGCAAGUGUUUGUAACCACUGAGACAUCUCUCUAGUCUCAAAUACAAUAUGGCCUUGGAAGUCAGAGGCUAUUACAGUGGGCUUUCUUGGGUUUAAUGGUCACCCUAGUUUCAUCAUCCCAAUAAAUGUCUUCCAGAGACUUACAAGGGUUACUGCCUGAAGCCUUGGGGAGCACCCAUGGCAGGGUUAAAGAGACAGGGACACCACCCCAGUAAGACUAGGGGGUAGAAAUGAAGCCAACGUGAACUAUUCCCGAAUGGCCCGGUGGAAAUGGACUUUGUUUGGAACAGUUAACACUUCCUUUUUUCUGUUUCUACCUUCUAAUUGGGAGUGUCUGUCUGAUGCCUAACACACUAUCUAAUGUCAGAAACAUGAAUUCCUCUGAUUUUGUGAGUUCGAAGCUAGAAAGGGAUUUUACCAUAGGAAUGAGCUCUGCCUAGAGUCUCACUAACAUCUAAUUAAGGUGAGACUCGGAAUUCCAAGCUUUAAACUUUCUAAGUGUCCAAGAAUGGACACAGGAACUAACUAGGACUUUUGAAUGCAUUCAGCAUUCAAGCAUAUGCAUUUGGUGGUGCCAAGAACAGAAUGUCAUACACUAAAUAUCCCCUACUCCUUGUAUGUUGGAGACUCAGUCCCCCGUAAGACAGUGUGAGGAAGGGAUGGGUAUAUUAAAAGGAGUCUGAAAACCCCUAUGACAGUGUAUGUGUCUGUACUGAUUAUCCUCCCCUCAGUUUCUGUAACAAAUGCUUAGCCAAGCCACAGAUGGGGGAGGGAAUUAUUUUGACUCAGAGUUUAAGAGAAUAUGACUCCAUUGUGGCAUGUUAUGUCCAAGUUUCUGGUCCCCAAAAGAAUUCAUGGAGUGGAUUUCCAACGCAAAUUACAUGAGGGUUUUUAAUAUUUAAACUCAAGUUUGGACCAACACCUUUCUAGCACCCCAGCAUGGUGGGUGCAGAAAGUGUGGCAGGGAGCCCUGGGAGGGAAGAACUUUUACAGGGAAAUGCUGUAACCAGAGGAGCUCUUCUGUCGUCUUGGGAUUGGGUAAGGAGGGCAUAGGGUAAGGUAGUUUCUGAAACCACUGGUCAGUUUGGGGGCUCAAAACCUAACAAAGAGCCAUAAAUUACUGACAAGGUAUCUUCAAGGACAGAAUGCCUCCGAGGAACAUCUGGACAUUGCUAAAUUUUAUGGCCCUGUUCCUUAGCUCCUUAAUUGGCUAUUUUUAGGGUAUCUGUUUAAAUCUUUGUUAUUGUUAUACAUCUCUGGAGCUGAGAUCUUCCCCAUCCCCAGCUCAUUAUAUGACUUAAGAUGAAGCCCCUGCUUUAAAAUGGAGUUUGCAAAGUCAGAUCCCCACAGGCAGCAAAGCACUGGCAGGUAGGAUGUCUCCAUCCCUGGCAGAGGGGAUUCGCAGUAUGACUUAUUGCAUUCUGUUAGAUCAGGAACCAGACAGCAGAGGACUCAGCAGAACCAGAAGUCCAUAUCAACUUCAAGGACUGACCCCGGUAAUCCACUCCUGCCACUGAGGCCAUGAUCCCUAAAGUCCUACAACCUGCUAAAGAACAUCACCAGUUAGGGGUGGAGAGUGCAGACAUGAGUGCUGCGGGAGGGAGUGCUUGUUUUGUUCCCAGCCGCCCGGCUAGAUUAGACCCGAAAUAAUCACUCAGAAACUGUAUUAAUUAAAACA
Myodes glareolus (Bank vole) is the source of this 2657-nucleotide long non-coding RNA. RefSeq lists it as uncharacterized. Lineage: Eukaryota; Metazoa; Chordata; Mammalia; Rodentia; Cricetidae. The record is from RefSeq and is a predicted model, not a curated record.